Onychostruthus taczanowskii (white-rumped snowfinch) is the source of this 189-nucleotide long non-coding RNA. RefSeq lists it as uncharacterized. The record is from RefSeq and is a predicted model, not a curated record. The transcript has 3 exons. NCBI's taxonomy places the organism in Eukaryota, Metazoa, Chordata, Aves, Passeriformes, Passeridae.
CAGAUCCCCCCGGGACCCCCGAGCCCCCGGAGCGGAACCGGAGCGCCGAGGGAAACGCCUCGGCAGGUGACCUCGGCCGGGCGGGCGGGCCCGAGGGGGCGGGGCCGUUGAUGACGUCAUUGGGGAUCCUGCUGCCCAUUGGGCUGGCGCUGUGCCUGGGGCUCGCGGGGCGGGCGCUGUGGCAGGGGU